This 253-nucleotide ribosomal RNA is filed under the name uncultured bacterium. RNAcentral describes it as "partial 16S ribosomal RNA". It matches the Rfam family "Bacterial small subunit ribosomal RNA", at positions 524 to 776 of the family's 1533-position model. The record is from RNAcentral.
UACGUAGGGGGCAAGCGUUGUCCGGAUUUAUUGGGCGUAAAGAGCGUGUAGGCGGUUUGGUAGGUCCGCUGUGAAAACUCGAGGCUCAACCUCGAGACGCCGGUGGAAACCAUCAGGCUAGAGUCCGGAAGAGGAGAGUGGAAUUCCUGGUGUAGCGGUGAAAUGCGCAGAUAUCAGGAAGAACACCCGUGGCGAAAGCGGCUCUCUGGGACGGUACUGACGCUGAGACGCGAAAGCGUGGGGAGCGAACAGG